This 82-nucleotide transfer RNA is filed under the name Felis catus (domestic cat). It matches the Rfam family "tRNA". From Rfam's summary of the family: Transfer RNA (tRNA) molecules are approximately 80 nucleotides in length. Lineage: Eukaryota; Metazoa; Chordata; Mammalia; Carnivora; Felidae. The record is from Rfam by way of RNAcentral.
GCCUGGGUGGCUCAGUCGGUUAAGCGUCUAACUUUGGCUCAGGUCAUCUCGUGGUUCGUGGGUUAGAGACCCGUCUCAGGCU